CUAGGCUAAUAUGACCNCGAGACCGAUAGCGAACAAGUACCGUGAGGGAAAGUUGAAAAGCACUUUGAAGAGAGAGUUCAAGAGUACGUGAAACCGUUUAGGGGUAAACCUGAGAAACCCGAAAGGUCGAAGGGAGAAAUUCAUUCGCGUUUCGCGAUAGGCAUCGUGUUCGCGCGCGACGGAGAGCGUUUCGACGUUAUUCCGCGCCACGAGCUCGACGAUCCUGACGCGAACGCGUGCACUUUUCUCCUGGUAGGACGUCGCGAUCCGUUGAGUGUCGGUCUACGGCUGACGGUGGAGCCCGAGAGUACGAUUCGCGUCGUUGCCCUCGGACCCGUCUGUUUCCCGGCCGGCUCGCUCGACGGUACGCAAACGGUUUUAGGCCGCUC
Molecule: ribosomal RNA, 389 nt
Filed under: Allaeotes sp. CNCCOLVG00004401
Lineage: Eukaryota; Metazoa; Arthropoda; Insecta; Coleoptera; Curculionidae
Description: eukaryotic LSU rRNA
Rfam family: Eukaryotic large subunit ribosomal RNA
Source: RNAcentral